RNAcentral lists this ribosomal RNA (460 nucleotides) under uncultured bacterium. Its description in RNAcentral is "partial 16S ribosomal RNA". It matches the Rfam family "Bacterial small subunit ribosomal RNA", at positions 338 to 795 of the family's 1533-position model. The record is from RNAcentral.
CCUACGGGAGGCAGCAGUGAGGAAUAUUGGUCAAUGGACGAGAGUCUGAACCAGCCAAGUAGCGUGAAGGAUGACUGCCCUAUGGGUUGUAAACUUCUUUUAUAUGGGAAUAAAAUGUUCCACGUGUGGGAUUUUGUAUGUACCAUAUGAAUGAGGAUCGGCUAACUCCGUGCCAGCAGCCGCGGUAAUACGGAGGAUCCGAGCGUUAUCCGGAUUUAUUGGGUUUAAAGGGAGCGUAGGUGGAUUGUUAAGUCAGUUGUGAAAGUUUGCGGCUCAACCGUAAAAUUGCAGUUGAAACUGGCAGUCUUGAGUACAGUAGAGGUGGGCGGAAUGCGUGGUGUAGCGGUGAAAUGCUUAGAUAUCACGAAGAACUCCGAUUGCGAAGGCAGUUCACUGGACUGCAACUGACACUGAGGCUCGAAAGUGUGGGUAUCAAACAGGAUUAGAUACCCCAGUAGUC